Molecule: long non-coding RNA, 575 nt
Organism: Heterocephalus glaber (naked mole-rat)
Lineage: Eukaryota; Metazoa; Chordata; Mammalia; Rodentia; Bathyergidae
Source: Ensembl
CGUAAUAAAGAACCUCUUAUGCAUAUAUCAUUAUAAAUAUCCUAUGCUUCUCUUUCUCUGGAGAACCCAGACUGAUAAGAUUUUGGUACAGAGAAUUGUUCUAGAGGAACAGAAUUUUAAGGAGCUCUGUGAUCACUCUUCUCUGCAGGCCCGGACCUCAUAGACUGAACUAUGAACAGCCACUCAACUGGAAAACCUAAAUGCAAUGGGAGGAAUUGGACACCAGGCAGGGGCCAACUGGUGACACUUGACCACCAAAGACAAGUAUUAGAUAUCUUGUAGGCAGUUAGUGCCUUCUUUAAGGUGCCAGCCCUCCAGGAGCCAACACAGCAAGGAGCCAACAUGCAGGACAGUGAAGACACAUUCACUGAAGGCCAACAUUGUAAAAGGAGAGAAAUUAGCACACCCAUGUAGGAUGAAUAGCAGUGAUUGAUAUUCUAAACAGGUAUCAAUCACCUGGUGGGUGGGGGGGGGCAAGGUCUUAACCCAGCCUCCCCAGGAAAUAUCCCUGACCCACCCUUACUGAAAAUUCUUGUAUGCUUGCUACGUGACUUGCUCCCCUAUUUGACCCCCCA